This 893-nucleotide ribosomal RNA is filed under the name Vitreoporus orientalis. Its description in RNAcentral is "Gloeoporus orientalis partial large subunit ribosomal RNA". It matches the Rfam family "Eukaryotic large subunit ribosomal RNA", at positions 81 to 960 of the family's 3401-position model. Lineage: Eukaryota; Fungi; Basidiomycota; Agaricomycetes; Polyporales; Irpicaceae. The record is from RNAcentral.
UAGUAACUGCGAGUGAAGCGGGAAAAGCUCAAAUUUAAAAUCUGGCAGUCUUUGAUUGUCCGAGUUGUAGUCUAGAGAAGCAUUUUCCGCGUUGGACCGUGUACAAGUCUCUUGGAAUAGAGCGUCAUAGAGGGUGAGAAUCCCGUCCAUGACACGGACUACCAGUGCUUUGUGAUGUGCUCUCAAAGAGUCGAGUUGUUUGGGAAUGCAGCUCAAAAUGGGUGGUAAAUUCCAUCUAAAGCUAAAUAUUGGCGAGAGACCGAUAGCGAACAAGUACCGUGAGGGAAAGAUGAAAAGCACUUUGGAAAGAGAGUUAAACAGUACGUGAAAUUGCUGAAAGGGAAACGAUUGAAGUCAGUCGCGUUAUUCAGAACUCAGCCUUACUUCGGUAUGGUGCAUUUUCUGUUUAACGGGCCAGCAUCAGUUUUGACCGCUGGAAAAAGGUUAGAGAAAUGUGGCACCUUCGGGUGUGUUAUAGUCUCUGAUUGUAUACAGUGGUUGGGACUGAGGAACUCAGUACACCUUUAUGGUCGGGGUUCGCCCACGUUUGUACUUAGGAUGCUGGCGUAAUGGCUUUAAGCGACCCGUCUUGAAACACGGACCAAGGAGUCUAACAUGCCUGCGAGUGUUUGGGUGGUAAACCCGAGCGCGUAAUGAAAGUGAAAGUUGGGAUCUCUGUCGUGGAGAGCACCGACGCCCGGCCCUGAACUUCUGUGACGGACCUGCGGUAGAGCAUGUAUGUUGGGACCCGAAAGAUGGUGAACUAUGCCUGAAUAGGGUGAAGCCAGAGGAAACUCUGGUGGAGGCUCGUAGCGAUUCUGACGUGCAAAUCGAUCGUCAAAUUUGGGUAUAGGGGCGAAAGACUAAUCGAACCAUCUAGUAGCUGGUCCUGC